CGUUCCCGGGCCUUGUACACACCGCCCGUCACACCACGAGAGUUUGUAACACCCGAAGUCGGUGGAGUAACCGUAAGGGGCUAGCCGCCUAAGGUGGGACAGAUGAUUGGGGUG
RNAcentral lists this ribosomal RNA (114 nucleotides) under uncultured bacterium. Its description in RNAcentral is "partial 16S ribosomal RNA". It matches the Rfam family "Bacterial small subunit ribosomal RNA", at positions 1369 to 1482 of the family's 1533-position model. The record is from RNAcentral.